GGGCCAGUAGCUCAGUUGGUCAGAGCUGGCGGCUCAUAACCGCCAGACCUCACCAUUUUUGCCUUUCUCA
RNAcentral lists this transfer RNA (70 nucleotides) under Faecalibacterium prausnitzii L2-6. Lineage: Bacteria; Bacillati; Bacillota; Clostridia; Eubacteriales; Oscillospiraceae. The record is from RNAcentral.